AGCAGCCGCGGUAAUUCCAGCUCCAAUAGCGUAUAUUAAAGUUGUUGCAGUUAAAAAGCUCGUAGUUGAAUUUCGGGAUCAAUAUUUCGGUCAUGCCGUUGGUAUGCACUGUUAUCAUUGAUUUCUCACCUUCUAAAGAACCGUAAUGCCAUUAAUUUGGUGUUACGGGGAAUUAGGACUGUUACCUUGAAAAAAUUAGAGUGUUUAAAGCAGGCUCACGCUCGAAUACAUUAGCAUGGAAUAAUGAAAUAGGACAUCCGAUUCUAUUUUGUUGGUUUCUAGGAUCGAUGUAAUGAUUAAUAGGGAUAGUUGGGGGCAUUAGUAUUCAAUUGUCAGAGGUGAAAUUCUUGGAUUUAUUGAAGACUAACUACUGCGAAAGCAUUUGCCAAGGAUGUUUUCAUUAAUCAAGAACGAAAGUUAGGGGAUCGAAGACGAUCAGAUACCGUCGUAGUCUUAACCAUAAACUAUGCCGACUAGGGAUCGGAUGAUGUUAAUUUUUAAUGUACUCAUUC
This 512-nucleotide ribosomal RNA is filed under the name uncultured Glomus. RNAcentral describes it as "SSU rRNA". It matches the Rfam family "Eukaryotic small subunit ribosomal RNA", at positions 569 to 1081 of the family's 1831-position model. The record is from RNAcentral. Lineage: Eukaryota; Fungi; Glomeromycota; Glomeromycetes; Glomerales; Glomeraceae.